UACGUAGGCGGCGAGCGUUGUCCGGAAUUACUGGGCGUAAAGGGCGCGUAGGCGGCUUGUUAAGUCUGGAGUGGAAGUCCUCUUUUCAAGGGAGGAAUUGCUUUGGAAACUGGCGGGCUUGAGUGCAGGAGAGGUUAUCGGAAUUCCCGGUGUAGCGGUGAAAUGCGUAGAGAUCGGGAGGAACACCAGUGGCGAAGGCGGGUAACUGGACUGCAACUGACGCUGAGGCGCGAAAGUGUGGGGAGCAAACAGGAUUAGAUACCCCUGUAGUCCCUGAG
RNAcentral lists this ribosomal RNA (278 nucleotides) under uncultured prokaryote. RNAcentral describes it as "partial 16S ribosomal RNA". It matches the Rfam family "Bacterial small subunit ribosomal RNA", at positions 524 to 801 of the family's 1533-position model. The record is from RNAcentral.